CGAACGCUGGCGGCGUGCUUAACACAUGCAAGUCGAACGCUGAAGACCUGGCUUUUGUUGGGUUGGAUGAGUGGCGAACGGGUGAGUAACACGUGAGUAACCUGCCCUCUUCUUUGGGAUAACGCCCGGAAACGGGUGCUAAUACUGGAUAUUCACUGGCCUUCGCAUGGGGGUUGGUGGAAAGGUUUGUUCUGGUGGGGGAUGGGCUCGCGGCCUAUCAGCUUGUUGGUGGGGUGAUGGCCUACCAAGGCUUUGACGGGUAGCCGGCCUGAGAGGGUGACCGGUCACAUUGGGACUGAGAUACGGCCCAGACUCCUACGGGAGGCAGCAGUGGGGAAUAUUGCACAAUGGGCGAAAGCCUGAUGCAGCGACGCCGCGUGAGGGAUGGAGGCCUUCGGGUUGUAAACCUCUUUCGCUCAUGGUCAAGCCGCAACUGUGGGUUGUGGUGAGGGUAGUGGGUAAAGAAGCGCCGGCUAACUACGUG
Molecule: ribosomal RNA, 484 nt
Filed under: uncultured bacterium
Lineage: Bacteria
Description: partial 16S ribosomal RNA
Rfam family: Bacterial small subunit ribosomal RNA
Source: RNAcentral